CCAAAUCAAUAUUAACCUGCGCAGGGGAGAAAAAGCCCAUCACAUGAGACGCCGCACAGAGUUCUAGCACACUAGUCUACCCAUGCAAAGAUGUUUCCAGAAAUUAGCUCCACCAACUCAAGACAACUAAUAUUUUUGCUGAUAAUAACAAGUAUAGCAAAUCAUAUGAAUAUAGUUCAUAAAGGGACCCGAUACAAGAACUAAUUCAAAUUUGUAACUACCUCCGUAUCGAACUGAAGUUUCUUUCCACAAUCCAACUCCAUUUGCAGACUAGGAUCUUCUGACAAUCAAAAUCCACAAUGCAGAUCAAAGAAGCCAUGAUCAUGUCUUCCUCACACUGUCAGGAGAGAGUAGGCGCAUUUUGAGUGUCAAUGAGCACAUGAACCCUUUAAAGAGCAAAUGGGAUAGAGUCAUCACUAUUUCAAGCACUAUCGCAAUAAAUUCUCUUCUCUGUGUGCACAUGCACAUUUUCUCAUGUGUGAAUCUAACUUUCUCAAAUGAUACAAAGGCAUAAAAGAACCCUCUGCUGGUAGUUUUGAGGAACAUUUUGAGUGAACUAGGAACAGUUCAUCACACCCAUUUUCCAAAGAUGCCUCAUGAGUCUCUAGACCUCAAUUACAAGGAGUAACGUACCAUGUCCUUGCAUUUGAAAUGCCCAAUCGGCAGAAGGAUAGAACUCUUGCCUGCCUUGGAUGAUAGAGCCAAAGAAAAGCAUCGAUUCCUUGAAUAGAC
Molecule: long non-coding RNA, 732 nt
Filed under: Eucalyptus grandis
Lineage: Eukaryota; Viridiplantae; Streptophyta; Magnoliopsida; Myrtales; Myrtaceae
Description: long non-coding RNA (EGRA_LNC007614)
Source: RNAcentral